GACAUGCAGAGAACUUCCAGAGAUGGAUUGGUGCCUUCGGGAACUCUGACACAGGUGCUGCAUGGCUGUCGUCAGCUCGUGUCGUGAGAUGUUGGGUUAAGUCCCGUAACGAGCGCAACCCUUGUCCUUAGUUACCAGCACGUUAUGGUGGGCACUCUAAGGAGACUGCCGGUGGACAAACCGGAGGAAGGUGGGGAGUGACGUCAAGUCAUCAUGGCCCUUACGGCCUGGGCUACACACGUGCUACAAUGGUCGGUACAAAGGGUUGCCAAGCCGCGAGGUGGAGCUAAUCCCAUAAAACCGAUCGUAGUCCGGAUCGCAGUCUGCAACUCGACUGCGUGAAGUCGGAAUCGCUAGUAAUCGUGAAUCAGAAUGUCACGGUGAAUACGUUCCCGGGCCUU
Molecule: ribosomal RNA, 401 nt
Filed under: uncultured Pseudomonas sp.
Lineage: Bacteria; Pseudomonadati; Pseudomonadota; Gammaproteobacteria; Pseudomonadales; Pseudomonadaceae
Description: bacterial SSU rRNA
Rfam family: Bacterial small subunit ribosomal RNA
Source: RNAcentral